Raphanus sativus (radish) is the source of this 1768-nucleotide long non-coding RNA. RefSeq lists it as uncharacterized. The transcript is spliced from 4 exons. NCBI's taxonomy places the organism in Eukaryota, Viridiplantae, Streptophyta, Magnoliopsida, Brassicales, Brassicaceae. The record is from RefSeq and is a predicted model, not a curated record.
CUCUCUCUCUCUCUCUCUCUCUCUCUCUCUCUCUCUCUUGAUCUCUCCUCCUCUCUGAUCUCUCCUCUCUCUCUUUUUUUUUUUGAACAACCUCCUCCUCCUCUCUCUCUCGUGAUCAUUUUAAGCUAGUAGCUACGAUUCUAUCGAAAAAGAUAUCGAUCAGUCUCUUCCGUUUUUCCCCUUCUCCGCAAACCCCAGUGAAGACACUGAAGUUUGAUUUCACUCUUCAAUCUUGAUCUGCUGGCAUAUACUACGAGGAGGCUUUGGCUGCUUUAAUCGCUUCACCAUUGAAAGAUCAUUUUGAGAAAGGCUGGAUUUCUCAUGUGCAUAUGAAAGCAGCACUGUUGUACAGUGAAGCUUGUUACAGGUAUGGAAUGGAGUUGCACGAGAAAGAGGAGAUUGCAGAAGAGAUAGCUCGGUUGAGGAGCGGAGCUAGUCGUUUGGCAGAAGCUAAGAAGUCUUCAAGGGGAGCUCCUGCACAGCUAGUUGAAGCGAUGAACAAGUUAGAGGCGAGCAUUAACUGCAAUUUGGAGAGAGCUGUCAAGGAAAAUGACAGAGUGUAUCUCAUGAGACCCUUCUCCUGCUUCUUUGUCUCCACUUCCUACAUUGCUGUGGAUGGUAAUUAAUCUCUUCCUGCUGAUCUUAAAGACGAUGUAGAGGCUGUUCAGAUCAGUGGCAGUCCAGCUGGCUUGGAUGCUGAACUUCAGCAGAUUAGAGAUUAAAGAGGGUUAAUCAGGAACUGUUGCUGCAAACCGAAGAGCCAAUUUGAAACAAGCUGGACAAAGUGAUCUAAAUUGUUUAUGUUCUUCUUUUUAUAGACCACUGCCACAGCAGAGAACUGAGAACCAACAUAAAAAGUCCCACCAAUAUUCAUCACUUUUCCAAAAAUCUCUUAACAAUGUCCUUAGUUACCAAUUAAUAAUAAACUAAUAUAAGGACUCUUAGAAAAGUCCCAUUGAUAAUCAUGCUCUGAGAUCGAGGAAGAAAAGAGAAAGAUAUAUCGACGAAAGUAGAGGAGAUUUCCUGGAUAUCUUUAACGAUUCCGAAGAUCUCUUUGGCCUACAUGUCAUUGUUGAUAGCUCUUAUGAGCGUUUGGUUGUCAGAGAGGAUCUUAAUCUUUGUGAGAUUAAGAUUCGCUGCAGCGAUGAUUCCAAGUCGUAGAACCAGUGCUUCUGCGAUGAUUGGUGAGGCGACGUACUCUUGAGUGGUGGCGCCUUGCUUGAUGAUGGUGUCUGUAGGGUUCGAUAUGAUCCAAGCUAGUCCCGCCUUGUUCGAUGUCUUCUCCCAUGCCGCGUCUGUUCGACAGAUCGGAAUCCGCGAGUCGGCUUGAUGUGGGUUCUUGUCCAAACGUUUUGCAGCUACUUCCUCAAUGGUGAGUUGACGAUUUUCAAAGAUCAGGGCGUUUCUGGCAGUCCAUAGGGUCCAGCAAAUCCACGGGAGGAUGAUUCCUAUUAUACCUGAGGGUGGUAGACAGACAGCAGUUCUGAAGGCGGUUACGGCUUCUUUGAAACUCAUUGAUGUAGCUAUGUGAACUACAUUUGCCAAAGGUUUUCACCUAGAGGCAGGGCUCUUUGGAGGAUGGACCAGAGGAAGACUUUCAUCUUUGGAAAGCAGUGACUUGCCCAUACCUCUCGGAUCCAGUCGAAAGUAUCUGGCUCGUGGGAUGCUUUUUACUCAGGAUAUUAGUGUGUUUAGCAUCUAUAUGCUCGUCAUAUUUGUUAGAUAUUAAAUACUUUCCCAACAUAUACUAAAUAAUCAAAUACUGUCA